UCCCAGGUGGCUCAGUGGUAAAGAAUCUGCCUGCAAAACAGGAGACCUGGGUUCGAUCCCUGGGUCGGGAA
Molecule: transfer RNA, 71 nt
Filed under: Ovis aries (sheep)
Lineage: Eukaryota; Metazoa; Chordata; Mammalia; Artiodactyla; Bovidae
Rfam family: tRNA
About the family: Transfer RNA (tRNA) molecules are approximately 80 nucleotides in length. Their secondary structure includes four short double-helical elements and three loops (D, anti-codon, and T loops).
Source: Rfam by way of RNAcentral